RNAcentral lists this ribosomal RNA (379 nucleotides) under uncultured bacterium. RNAcentral's name for it is "bacterial SSU rRNA". It matches the Rfam family "Bacterial small subunit ribosomal RNA", at positions 28 to 407 of the family's 1533-position model. The record is from RNAcentral.
GACGAACGCUGGCGGCGUGCUUAACACAUGCAAGUCGAGCGGUAAGGCCCUUUCGGGGGUACACGAGCGGCGAACGGGUGAGUAACACGUGGGUGACCUGCCCUUAGCUCUGGGAUAAGCCUGGGAAACUGGGUCUAAUACCGGAUAUGACUCCAUAACGCAUGUUGUGGGGUGGAAAGCCUUGUGCGGCUAGGGGAUGGGCCCGCGGCCUAUCAGCUUGUUGGGUGGGGUGAUGGCCACCAAGGCGACGACGGGUAGCCGGCCUGAGAGGGCGACCGGCCACACUGGGACUGAGACACGGCCCAGACUCCUACGGGAGGCAGCAGUGGGGAAUCUUGCGCAAUGGGCGAAAGCCUGACGCAGCGACGCCGCGUGGGGA